This 253-nucleotide ribosomal RNA is filed under the name uncultured bacterium. Its description in RNAcentral is "partial 16S ribosomal RNA". It matches the Rfam family "Bacterial small subunit ribosomal RNA", at positions 524 to 776 of the family's 1533-position model. The record is from RNAcentral.
UACGUAGGGGGCUAGCGUUGUCCGGAAUCAUUGGGCGUAAAGCGCGCGUAGGCGGCCAGAUAAGUCCGGUGUGAAAGCCCCCGGCUCAACUGGGGAGGGUCACUCGAUACUGAUCGACUCGAAGGCAGAAGAGGGAAGCGGAAUUCGCGGUGUAGUGGUGAAAUGCGUAGAUAUCGGGAGGAACACCAGUGGCGAAGGCGGCUUUCUGGCCUGUUCUUGACGCUGAGGCGCGAAAGCUAGGGGAGCAAACGGG